This 444-nucleotide ribosomal RNA is filed under the name uncultured bacterium. Its description in RNAcentral is "SSU rRNA". It matches the Rfam family "Bacterial small subunit ribosomal RNA", at positions 26 to 518 of the family's 1533-position model. The record is from RNAcentral.
AGAACGAACGCUGGCGGCAGGCCUAACACAUGCAAGUCGAACGCCCCGCAAGGGGAGUGGCAGACGGGUGAGUAACACGUGGGAACAUACCCUUUGGUUCGGAAUAACUCAGGGAAACUUGAGCUAAUACCGGAUAAGCCCGAGAGGGGAAAGAUUUAUCGCCAAAGGAUUGGCCCGCGUCCGAUUAGCUAGUUGGUGAGGUAACGGCUCACCAAGGCGACGAUCGGUAGCUGGUCUGAGAGGAUGAUCAGCCACAUUGGGACUGAGACACGGCCCAAACUCCUACGGGAGGCAGCAGUGGGGAAUAUUGGACAAUGGGCGCAAGCCUGAUCCAGCCAUGCCGCGUGAGUGAUGAAGGCCCUAGGGUUGUAAAGCUCUUUCGUCAGGGACGAUAAUGACGGUACCUGAAGAAGAAGCCCCGGCUAACUUCGCGCCAGCAGCCGC